GGAGUGUGUAACAACUCACCUGCCGAAGCAACUAGCCCUGAAAAUGGAUGGCGCUAAAGCUCCGUGCCUAUACCCGGCCGCCGGAAGGCAUAGGCGUGAGCCGCUCUUCUGGGGCGGCGAGCGCGCGAAGCCCCGGCGAGUAGGAGGGCGCGGCGGUGUGCGCGGAAGGGUCUGGGCGCGAGCCUGCCUGGAGCCGCCGCCGGUGCAGAUCUUGGUGGUAGUAGCAAAUACUCAAGCGAGGGCCUUGAGGGCUGAUGUGGAGAAGGGUUUCGUGUGAACAGCCGUUGCACACGAGUCAGUCGAUCCUAAGCCCUAGGAGAAAUCCGAUGUCGAUGCGGGGGGCGGUUUUACACGUGCUCCCCCUCGAUGGGCGAAAGGGAAUCCGGUUCCUAUUCCGGAACCCGGCAGCGGAACCGAAUCUACGGGCCCUCGUCAGAGAAGCUCGUCGGGGUAACCCAAAGGGACCCGGAGACGCCGUCGGGAGACCCGGGCAGAGUUUUCUGUUCUGCAUAAGCGUUCGAGUUCCCUGGAAUCCUCUAGCAGGGAGAUAGGGUUUGGAACGCGAAGAGCACCGCAGUUGCGGCGGUGUCCGGGUCGUCCCCUCGGACCUUGAAAAUCCGGGAGAGGGUCACGCGGAGGUGUCGCGCCGGCUCGUACCCAUAUCCGCAGCAGG
RNAcentral lists this ribosomal RNA (673 nucleotides) under Oxypiloidea camerunensis. RNAcentral's name for it is "eukaryotic LSU rRNA". It matches the Rfam family "Eukaryotic large subunit ribosomal RNA", at positions 1275 to 1863 of the family's 3401-position model. The record is from RNAcentral. Lineage: Eukaryota; Metazoa; Arthropoda; Insecta; Mantodea; Hymenopodidae.